GUAUAGUCACGAUGGCCGACGGUUGUUUUGUUAUUUUUUCUCUCCUCUCGGCUGUCUGUAGCCAAACACACACAGAACCACUAACACGUUUUUUUGUUGCGUACGUUUUUCUUUCGUCUUUUUACACGGACUAAGAUCUUAGUCCGUGUCUUUUUAUUGUUUUCUCGUGAAGUUACCACAAUAAAAUGGAGUACCUAGUCACUCGGAAACAUUUUGCCGUGGCGGUGAACGCUGCCGGGCAAACUAAGGUUAUAAACAACAACAAAAAAGGUGCCAGUAUAGCAAGCGACACAAAAUUAGCCAAAUUAAUAUUAUAUUAUAAAAAAAACACAAACUGUUUACCUAUAUAAAGUAAAAAACAUUCAAUUUGGAUUCAAAAUACAAUAGAAAAUAUAAACAUACAUGGAUUAAAAGGAACUAGAUGUCACUGUUAAAGGUAUCAAUGUAGAAUACAACACAACCUCUGUACUGUAAUAUGCUUCCAAAUCAAUAAAAACAGUUGAUUGGAAAUUCUAAAAAAAUUUUAAAAUGUUGGAUUCAAAUACUAAAGUAUACUGAAGCAUGCAAUAUACUAGUAGUGGAACAAAUAAGGGAACAAAUUGUCUCCAUUAAAUGUUUAUGAAGUGCAGUUCUUAGCCCUAAUACUAAACUCAGUAAAUGUAUUGUAUAUAUUGGAUAUUAAUGUUAUGGAAUACCUUUAAAUGCCAACAUGUUCCCACACAUCUCAAAUAAAAAAUGAAGUGACUGUCUACUUUAGUUUCAAACAUUAAUCACUGUCAUUCGGACGAUGGUAUACGAACCCCGCACCGCCACCUCCGUAUCAUUCACAUCGCGCGUAAUGCGCUGAGGCGGCGACCAACAAAAUUUUAGAAAAAGCUCUUCGUCAUGCACAACAAAUUAGAGCUUAUCCUGAUUCAGAAUAUUAUAUUUCGUUUAUUUCUGUACCUACAUUUAGCCGUUCUCGAGAAAUAGCGCGGACAAACAUAUAGAUGCAGACGGACAACCAGACAAGAUACAAAGAAAAAUAAAAACUUUAAAAAUACUAUACAACUGUAGGUACAACUGGUACAAGUCAAAAGACAUAAUUUAAUGUAGGCAAAAUGGCUGUUUCCUCAUACUCAAUCCAUUUUAUCCGAGACCGCUUACCAGCUCCAUCAAGUCUCAACUCUCAACCCGAGGAAGCAUACCACACCGGCACAUCGUUUUCGACAGUUUUUCAUUGUAUCCAAUAUAUUUCGACGCCAUCGUAAAACAACGAAAAAAAAUUUAUAAUGUGAUAUGUGAACCACCAAUUAUAAAUAGUAAAUACUCGAUGUUGCGAUAACUCAUUUUCUUAUUAUCGGUCGUCUUAUCAUAAUAAUAGUCAAGUAAAACACACAAUCUAUAAAUAGCUAUUCAAACGGGGUAUAUUAUAUUGCAAUUGACACAAAACAACAAAGUAUAUAACUAUGGUUGUAAAUAACAUCACAGGGUUACAUUUUUAUUUAAUAAUACCAAAUACCACAGAUUAUGUUCGUAGUUUGUAUAAUCUGCAACAGUACGAUCAAUACGGAAUAAAUCCGUAUUAAAAAAGGUGGGCAAGUGGAUGUCGCUC
This 1594-nucleotide long non-coding RNA is filed under the name Acyrthosiphon pisum (pea aphid). Its description in RNAcentral is "uncharacterized LOC100574262, transcript variant X4". The record is from RNAcentral. Lineage: Eukaryota; Metazoa; Arthropoda; Insecta; Hemiptera; Aphididae.